This 393-nucleotide unclassified non-coding RNA is filed under the name uncultured fungus. RNAcentral describes it as "sequence contains ITS1". The stretch from base 1 to 106 matches the Rfam family "5.8S ribosomal RNA", at positions 50 to 154 of the family's 154-position model. The record is from RNAcentral. Lineage: Eukaryota; Fungi.
CAAACGCGAAAUGUGUUAUGACAUGCAGUCUUUGUGAAUCAUUUACUCUUUGAACGCACCUUGUGCCCAUUGCCAUUGCGCAGUGGGUAUACUUGUUUGAGUAUCGCAAAGGAAAAAAGUCGCUCUUUCGAGAGUGGACGUGCGUUUCACACACACGGUGUGUGAUCUGUGAAAUGGAUGGCGGGUCUGAUUAGUGCAGGAAGCCCACGCAUACGCACUCUUGGGAUAAAUCCAAUCAAGGGUGUGUGUGGGAAAGGAUGGCACUAGUGGAAACGACACACUACAGUAGUGAGGCAGCGAUCAGCGAGCGUCAUUGACUUGACACUCUCUGCUCGCUCCUCGCACUCACACGACGCUGAUCUCAAAUCAAGUAAGAGGACCCGCUGAACUUAA